GAACCAUCCCCCCAAUUCAGCUCUAACUUAGUAAGCUUUUUUAGAGAUAAUUUUGCCUCAUGUGCAUCCACUGCGCUUUGCACUUUGCACAACCCUUCAAUGGAAAGUUCCCCACCGAGAUUAUUUAAUCCCUUAAGCUCAGUUAUAGCAAACCCACCAUCUCCUCCAAUGACAAUCUUGGUGAGAGUUUGUAGGCUUUUCAGCUCACCAAUCCCCAAGGGAAACUGUAUAAGAGAUGGAGUACCCCUAAAGUCAAAAUGCUGCAACUUUUUGAGCUUUGAGAAGCUUUUAGGCAACUUAGUCAAACUCUGACAGUUAAAAAGGAUCAGUGUUUGUAGAUUAAAAAGAUUACCAAUGUUCUCUGGUAACUCUUUGAUGUCAGUUCGAGAUAAGUUAAGAUAUCUCAAGUACGAAUAAUAGCAGACUGGACCAACCGA
This 437-nucleotide long non-coding RNA is filed under the name Helianthus annuus (common sunflower). The record is from RNAcentral. Lineage: Eukaryota; Viridiplantae; Streptophyta; Magnoliopsida; Asterales; Asteraceae.